GUUCUUUGGGAUUGAUACAAUUGUCUCUGUUGGUCCACUACAUUUUGAGGUGGAAGCAGGGAACCUGUCACUUGGCCUGAAGAUUGUAGCCUUUGUUGCACAUCCUGUUGUAGCAGAUUAGGUUGUUGUAACUGCUGAUGGUGAGACUGAAGGGGCAUCAUCUGCUGCUGGGAUGGCUGAUUUUGUGACUGUUGUCCCUGAGAAGGAUACAAGCCAUGGCCAGCUUGGUGUGUUCGUUGCAGCGCAGCGGUUGGCUGUGAUAACAUGUGCACCGACUGCUGGUUAGUCUGGGAACUGAGCAACUGUUGUUGUGGUUGCUGCAGUCCUGCAACAUUGCUUUGAGUGCCCAGUGGUUGCUGAGUCGUAGCCUGAAGGCUGUUUUGUUGAGACAUAAAUUGCUGUUGGGCCGGUGGGUGUUGCUUCUGCUGCGGUCGCAUGUUCAUAACAUUAUUUUGCUGGUUCAGCAACCUUUGCUGAUGUUGCUGCUGCUGCAUAUCCCCAACAACAUGCUGCGCCAUCAUUUGAUUCUGCUGGAUGCCUGAGCCACUUGCAGCUUGUUGCCGCGUCAUUUGUGCUUGCUGCUGGGGAGAAAUAGACUGAUGCGGCAAUGAAGUUUGUUGCUGAUGGAUCCCAGAGGCUUGUUGUGAUUGCGGAUGUUGCCUUAGCAGCGACGAUUGCUGCUGACGAAGAAUAGUCUGUGACGUAGUCUGCUGAGAAGAGAAUUGAGGACUUGACUGCUGAUUUGUGUGGAGACCCUGGAUGGGAGCUGAGUUCACAGCUGAAGGCUGCGUUGCAGAUGUCGUACUACCAGGCUGUUGAGACGAAUGCAUUUGAUUGGGCUGCAAUACAUUUUGUUGCUGUUGUUGUAUGGGAUUGGGAACAUUCCCUGACUGAAAAUUCUGCCUGAGAAGUUGCUGCUGAUAAAGAUAUUGUCCACCCUGUGGCUGCUGCUGCUGCUGAGAAGACAUAAUAUGCGGCCUGCCCAACAUCUGCCUUUGGGAUCCUGAUAUCAUGUUGGAUGAAAGGCCAUGCUGCCCAGAUGAAUCUUGCAACACUCCGGCAACAUUUUGCAUACUGGAAUUCUGGUUUACAACGCUUGUGACGUUAUUAUUGGCUAUGGAAGAAACAGGCUGCAUGGAAGAUGGUAAACCAGUAGAACCCGCCAUUCCAGAGGCUGUAUUACUCUGCAUGGUUUGGGACAUCAACGGCUGAGGUGCUUGAGAUUGAUUGUUUGGAAGAAGUUGCCCUUGAUUGUUGGGUACUAGCAAAGUUAAACAGCACCAAAUUAAAGAAACAGUCAUCCAAAAGAGCCAGAUAAGAAGAGUUAAGCAAUACAUGGUUGAGAAUCAUGAUUACUUGAAUCCAUUGAUGUGGUAUUAUUAGCAUCAGUGGUAGUUGAGGAAGAGCCAGCAGCAUUUUGAGAUUUAGUCUCCAUAGUCAGCAUCUUCAUGGAUAUCUUCCGAAGGUAAUCAGUCUGAAAAUUCAAUAAAAAAAAUCAGGGAGGUAUAUAUAGCUUUACGGCUACCAAAGUCUGUUAUUUUCCAGCUUGUUAAAAAAAGUGGAUGUUCAGUACCUGGUUAACAGCACCGCUGAAAGUUUUCUCCUCAAAUCUGGCAGCAAUUCUCCUGAGAUCGUUAAUUCCUUCUGGUCCAGAACUCGGAAGGUGCCUGCUUAGUGUUUCCAUUCUGCGCAUAGAGUAAGAAAAACAGAAGUAAGGGUCAAAAAAGUGUAACACCAUGUAUUUCUGAUGAAACAUUUUGGAGACAUAACAUUACAACAACACCAGUUAAUAUUAAUAUUAAAUAAACUUACAUCUUGUUAACGAUCUUCUGGCGUGAAUCAGGUGGCAACUGUUUUCUCCACUCACCAUUGUUAAUGGCUGCAGAUUCUCCAUUUGGAAUGGAAAGUCUCCAGUUGUUGUUAUCCAUCAAGUGUUCCUACGUUCGCAAACCAUGAUAACCAAAACAUGAUGCUCAUAUCCCAAAAAAAAAAACUACAAGAAACAAACGACCACACAGAAGAUGGAUUAUUAUUAUUCACACUCAUAAUUUCUCAAUAUAUGUCGCUUUCCUUUUUUUUCAUUUGUGCCAAAUAAUCAGACCAGACAGGAUAAUAAUAAUAGAAAGUUUGAGACAUCAGAAAUUAAAUAAGGAAUCACCAACCCUGAAGAAAAUCAAAACAAGUUGUGUUCACUGAUCAGCCAAAAUUUUCAUUUUUUUUAAUUACCAGCUUUGUCUCCUGUCCGUAGCAGAAAGUCACAUACAGUACAGCUUGCCGAGACUCCGACCACAAGAUAAAACUCGAAAGCAACAGAUGGAAACCAAAAAAAAAAAAAAAAAAACGAGAUUCGAAAAUUUCACCUACAAUUUUUAAAGUGUGUCGAGGCGAUUUCGCGGUUGCUACAAACGAUUAGAGUCUGCCUUUAGGAAAAAAAAAAGGAGUUAAAUUAGGGUUUAGGUUGAUCGAGAAAUGAAAUUGAAGAAUAUAUAAAAGAAUGUUUCUGGGCAAACGCAGAGGAAGGAAACUUCAUGCGUCUUAAGCUGACAACUGUGUCCCCUCAACUUCGCUUAUAAGUUAUGACCAAAGUUUUCAAUGUCGUCGCGCUGCUUUUUAAAUUACCACUAACCCCCUCCAAUUAAACAUAAAUUACAAGGUCCACUGUGUAUAAUAAAUAUGUUGAGAAAGUUCCCUACGACGACGUUUCAAUAUCGGUACGAGCUGUUAGCGCGUAGCCGCGUAUCAACCAAUUACCAAGAACGAAAUAAUUUGAAUAUUUUAGAGUUAACAUAAACCGUUUCCUUUAGCUUUGCAAGUUUUUAGAAUCUAAUUCUCUGAGUAGAUACUGAUUUCGGUGAUCACUAGCAGAGUUUAAUGUACUUAUGUACAUAAUAAACAAAGUAAUGGACUUCUCAUCUUUUUCAUUCGAUCGACUAGAAAAACAUGCGACUAUAAAAAGUCAAUGAGCAAGCAACACACACAGGAAGUCUUAAAGAUUUUGCAAGAAAGACCACAACUCAAAGUUUCAGUAAAAUACAGACAACUUUUAGAGGGAGAUGAAAUCAACUUUGUAGACUUAAAAGAACAACUUUCUAGACAGACCAAAAUUCACAGAGAAGAGCCACAAAAGGGGCAGAAACGGAACUCAGGCUCCACGACUCGAUCGCAGAAACGGCACGUAGCUAGAGAUAUCGGCGGAGGGAAAAACAGAUCGCAGUCUCUACAAUGGAGUACUUGAUCUUUCCCGGGCCAUCUCCAGACAGGAACAAAGAACAGCUUCAAGACUUUGUCGUAAUCCACCAAAUCGGCCUCCGAGCCACAUCUUAUGCACUUUCCGGCGCCGGAUUUGAGCACCUGCCUCACCUGUUGCCCUAAUCCACCAGCGAAGAAAAAGAACAUCCUCUGUUUUCAGAAUUACCUGAGAUCUCCUUUUUUUUUUUAAGCUCUUCAGACACUUGUGCAGGGUUCACAAGAAAAACUUGUUAAGAUUUCAGAUUAAGGGGAAGAUAUAAUUUAGUCUAUCUUCUAGUUGUUUCUAGCAGAGGUAAGAUAAGAACAUAACUUUUGAUUUUGCCAUGUUCUAGGUGUUUCCAGCCCUUGUAAGAAACAUAGUCUUGGUUUCCGAUUUUUUUUUUUUUUUGUCUUUUUUGGUUUGGCCAACAUCCAAUAGAAUACAUGGAUGAUCAGCAGAUAAUUAAGUACCUGGUUAACAGCACCGCUGAAAUUAAAUUUUCUCCUCGAACCUGGCAGCAAUUCUCCUGAGCUCGUUAAUUCCUUCUGGUCCAGAGUGAGGAAGGUGCCUGCUUAGUGUUUCCAAGUAAAUAGAGUAAGAAAAACAGAAGUAAAGGUCAAAGAAGUGUAACACCCAUGUAUUUCUGAUGAAACACUUUGCAGAAGCUUAAUAACAACACCAGGUAAUAUUAAUAUUAAAUAAACUUACAUCUUGUUAGCGAUCUUCUGGCGUGAAUCAGGUGGCAAUUGAUUUCUCCACUCACCAUUGUUCAUGGCUGCAGAUUCUCCAUUUAGAAUGGAAGGUCUCCAAUUGUUGUUAUCCAUCAAGUGUUCCUAAGUUUACAAACCAUGAUAAGAAGAUAACCAAAACAUGAUGCGCAUAUCGCAAGGAAAAAAAAAACUACAAGAAGCAGACAACCACACAGAAGAUGAAUUAUUAUUAUUCACACUCAUAAUUUCUCAAUAUAUGUCGCUUUCCUUUUUUCCAUUUAUGCCAAAUAAUCAGACCAGCCAGGAUAAUAGUAAUAGCAAGUUUGAGACAUAGCUUGAGAAUCACAAUCUCUCGUUCCUAGGUGAAGAUGUUAUGCAGCUGAAUUCUAGGGUAUAUGAGCAUAUUCACUCAUCAGAGUAGCUACAUAGCAGGUUGAUCCUGAACCGGAAGUAGCAAAAUACCCAAACAUGUAUUGAAUUAGGAGAGAUUGGAUAUCCGAACCCGAACAGAUAAUAUCCAAACCCGAAUGAAUAUCCAAAAAUAACCGAACAUAAAUAUAUAUAUAUAUAUAUAUAUAACCUUAUAUUUUUAAUAUAAAUCGUUUAUUUUAUUUAAAAUAUUUAUAUUGAUGUUACACUACUUUAAAAUCAUAUAAUAUGCAUAUAAGUACAUAUAAAAUGAUAUGAUACUCUAUAGGUUUCUUGUGUAAAGCCAUAUUCUUUCUACAUUGAUCAAUAAAUUUCACAUUUCAUAAAAAAAAGGUUUGAUAGUCACUUUAAAUGCAUGUCAAGCUUUUUAUUUUAUGUAUUAACAAAAGUUACAUCCAUUUUUUUUUUAAAAAUGACCAAAUUAUUUAUUUUUGCAAUGUUAUCUCCAAAUCUAUUAAUCACUCAAUCUAUUAAAAAUAAAAAAAAAUCAGUUGAGUGAAAAUUAUAUUUUUAAAUACAAGAAACUUAAAACAAUGAAAAAAAUAAUUUUUUAUUUUAAAAUCUAAAUAUCCGAACCCAACCCGAAAUAACCGAAUCUGAUUUAAAAAUAUUCGAAGCCGAUCCAAAAUACAAAAAUACCCAAACGGGUUCUAUAUCCCUAUGCCAAAAUACCUAAAAAUCUGAAAUACCCGACCCGAACGACCAAUUAGAAUUAGUAAGAACGAAAUAAUUGAAUAUUAGAGUCAACAUAAACCUAUUUUAAUAAGUGAUAACUCUAAUAGUUUUUCCUUUCACCAAAAACAACAUAUGUUUUUUUUUUUUUUUCAAUUUGAAAUUCCACCUAACGAACAGAAACAAUGGUUACAACAGUGAUUUAGUGAUUUAAGUAAAACCCCAACGACUUAGGACUGUCUUUCUCCGAAACACACAGUCGAGUUACUUCGCAAGCUCGGACUCAAUUCUAACAAAUGACACACAGCCAGACCGCUUAUCAUAAUCUUGAAUCCGAUUUCUAUGAUCACCGGCUUGUCCCGGUUAAUCGGGACGGGAGAACAUAGUCUCCACUUUCUCCUCACCAAUGAACCGUUCCGACUUCUGCAUUUUAAUGGAUUUGUAAAUCUAAACUAAAUGUAGUGUUAUUGGUUCUAUUAUUUUAAAAUUCACAUUCAAAUCCAUAGUUAUUGGUUUUAUGAUUUUAAAAUAAAUUUUAGAAUCAUGUGUUAUUCAAUAAUAAAGAUUUGUGUAUGGAUUUAAUUUGCAACUGGAUUUGAUUGGAUUUGUAACUAUUGUUAAGAGUAAAAUACAAAGGAUCAAAUAUUGGGUUUAACCUUGUUAUUUUGGCUGGAUUUGUUUUAUAUUGUUUUUUUUUCAUUCUUUAUACUUUUGUGUCCCAACACACAUCAGUUGAUGCAUUACUUCAAAUUUUAUACAUUGUUUUUUGCUCAUGUUAAAAACAUGCACUAAGCACAUGUCCAUACAAACAUAUUGUAUAAUGCAUACGAUAAUAAAAAGAGAUGCAACGAGAGAUGUAUUCCAUAUGAACGUAUCCCCACAAAUUGUGUGCGACCAGCUUUUGCUGCUUAGCAAAAUGAAAAAGAGGCAAGAAAGAUGAUGAAUGGUGGAGAAGAUAAAGUCGUCGAUAAGUUCCGAGAAUACUCCGUUGAGAUUUCUGAAAAAAUGACAAGUAAAUCUGUUUUGUCAGAAAUUUUUACUUUUGAUCCGAUCAAACUUCCGAUAACAUGGUGAAAAAAUAGUUUGAUCCGAAAUUUCUGAGGAGAUGCCAUGAAAAGUUUGUUCUGAAAAUCCAUGUUUUUGGAAGUUGCAGUCGGAGAACAUAAUGUUCUCUUGUAGUGUUUUAUUUAGGUCUAGUUACAAAUCCAUUGAUUUAUAACAAUUCAUUUAUUUGAUUUUAAAAUACUCAUAUCAAUAAUUCUCACUGGAUUUUUGGAAGAUUUCUAAAUAUAAGGAGAAUUUAUAAAUCCACUAAACUAACAGAACCAAUAACCCCCACUUAAUAAAUCCGACAAAAAUACACAUAACAAACAGAAUCUUGCAUUGCUACAGAUACUAGAAAAACGAGAAACCACUUCUUUAUAUACAAAUAUGUAAAUGCAGUUGCCUUCCCCCUUAUUUGGCUUUAGCUUCCCUCUUCCAUACUCUGCAUCUUCAAGGAUAUUUUGCAAAAGUAGUCCAUCUGAAACUCGAAACCAGCACACAACAUCAAGAAACAAAGGAGAGCAUGAUAUCGAGGAUGUAACUCACUGAGCUUAAUAAAAAAAAAUAGCGUAACCUGAUUUUUUGCGGUGUUGAAAAUCAACUCCUCGAAGCUGACAGCAAUUCUCAUGAGCUCUUCGAUUCCUUCUUCCCCAGAAUAUGGAAGAUUCUUCUUCAGUGUUUCCAAUCUGCCAAAUGGCAAAACUCACUUCUCUAUUUAUAAACAUAUGCAUGGCAAAAUGUUGUAAAACAUUCUACUUCGACAGAGUUUUAUCAUCAAAUUGGCUUUGGGGAAGCAAAAAAGGAGCAAGAGUUGAUAAAUAUGACAAAUUUGGAGGAGGAACAAACUCACAGCGUGUUGACAUUCUUUUGGCGUGAAGCUGGUGGAUGUAGAGUUCUCCAGUCAACUGUGUUUAUGGCAAGAUUACCUAUGUGGACAAAGCAAAGCAUUAACAUCAGGAUUCUAGCUCCAUUUAAAACCUUCAAGAGAAACGAAUCAAGUGGGAAAAUGGAUGCAACUGAUCUCCAACAUCCAUUUAUAAAACCAAGAAAAUGGAUUGCAUCUGCGGAUUUGCUUGACCAUCAUGAGAAUGAUUACCGUUCUGAGAUGACUGUUGCUUCACAGGCUGCAUCUGAGGUUGCGGAAGCUUCCCUUGCUGUACUAGCUUCCUCGGCCUGUGCAUAUUUAAGAAAUCUACAAUCUGCUUCUCAUAAUAAGCCACCCUAUCCCUUAAUGCAGGCACGAUAUUUCUCUUUGAAACCGACAGGAAUUGUAUCAUUCGCUCCACCAUUAUCUUGAAUUGUUUCAAUUUAUUAAACUGCUCUGAUCUUUGUUGCUGCGGAAGAGAAUCCAUCUGGGGAGAAAAAGAAUUGUGCUCAAUAAGAAAAGAGACAACCACAUCCGAUGUGUACUUUCUACUGGACAGUAAUUACACGAGUCUCAAGAGCAUCUUUUGGUGAAAUGGUUUUCAAGACACCAAAGUUGUACGCCUUUCUUUUGCAAUGUCGAACCAGUUUUGCAUUGAAUUCAUAGAGAUUCUCACUCAGAUACUCUACUGUUUCAGAGAACAUACACUCCAACUCUCCUAGAAAAAAAUAUCGCAACUUACUUGCUGCAACUUGGCUAUAACUCUCUGGUAGAUUUCGGUAACAUCUGGUAAGUACGCAUCUUUCAUAAUUUUGAUCUGCAAAGACAAAGCACCGUGGGAACACGAUUACUCAUUACGGGAGGCCGGAAGCAUUACUCAAAAUAGAAAGAAAAAACUACCUUUUGGUAAACCUCCUCUUGCCAAUCAACACCAUUUGCAUUUUCCGUCUGUGCCGUUGAGUCUACCGAUGCUAACAUUUAUAAAAAGUGGGUUUGCUCAGCAUCAGAUCUUGCCGAGGGAUUAUGUAAAGUAUCAGAAACUAAAGUAUUCACAAGGAUGUAGAAAAAGCAUACAUGAUGGCAUCUCCGGAAGGGUUCUUUGGGAUUGAUACAGUUGUCUCUGUUGGUCCACUACAUUUUGGGGUGGAAGCAGGGAACCUGUCACUUGGCCUGAAGAUUGUAGCCUUUGUUGCACAUCCUGUUGUAGCAGAUUGGGUUGUUGUAACUGCUGAUGAUGCGACUGAAGGGGCAUCAUCUGCUGCUGGGAUGGCUGAUUUUGUGACUGUUGUCCCUGAGAAGGAAAUAAGCCAUGGCCAGCCUGGUGUGUUCGUUGCAGUGCAGCGGUUGGCUGUGAUAACAUGUGCACCGACUGCUGGUUAGUCUGGGAACUGAGCAACUGUUGUUGUGGUUGCUGCAGUCCUGCAACAUUGCUUUGAAUGCCCAGUGGUUGCUGCUGAUGAAGGCUGUUUUGUUGAGAUAUGAAUUGCUGCUGGGCCGGUGGGUGUUGAUUCUGCUGCUGUUGCAUGUUCAUAGUAUUAUUUUGUUGGUUCAGUAACCUUUGCUGAUGUUGCUGCUGCAUAGCCCCAACAACAUGCUGCCCCAUCAUCUGCCUCUGUUGGAUGACAGAGCUAUUUGAAGCUUGUUGCCGCAUCAGUUGUGCUUGCUGCUGAGGAGAAAUAGACUGCUGCGGCAAUGAAGUUUGUUGCUGAUGGAUCACAGAGGCUUGUUGUGAUUGCGGAUGUUGCCUUAGCAGCGAUGAUUGAGCAGACACUUGAGGACUUGAUUGUUGAUUUGUGUGGAGACCUUGGAGGGGAGCUGAGCUCACAGCUGAGGGCUGCGUCGCAGAUGUCGUACUACCAGGAUGUAUCUGCGACGGCAAAACCGAAUUGGGAUUGGAAAAGUUCCCUGACCGAAAAUUCUGCCUGAGAAGUUGCUGCUGCUGAGAAGACAUAGUAUGCGGCCUGCGCAACAUCUGCCUAUGGGAUCCUGAAAGCAUGUUGGACGAAAGGCCAUGCUGCCCAGAUGAAUCUUGCAACACUCCGGCUACAUUUUGCAUAUUGGAAUUCUGAUUUACAACACUUGUGACAUUAUCAUUGCCUAUGGAAGAAACAGGCGGUAUGGAAGAUGGUAAACCAGUAGAGCCCGCCAUUCCAGAGGCUGUAUUACUCUGAAUGGUUUGGGACAUCAACGGCUGAGGUGCUUGAGAUUGAUUGUUCGGUAACGUUCCUGGAAGAAGUUGCCCUUGAUUGGCGGGUACUAUUCAAGAAAAAGUUAAACAGCACCAAAUUAAAGAAACAGUCAUCCAAAAGAGCCAGAUAAGAAGAGUUAAGUAACACAUGGUUGAGAAUCAUGAUUACUUGAAUCCAUUGAUGUGGUAUUAUUAGCAGCAGGGGUAGUUGCUGAAGAGCCAGCUGCAUUUUGAGAUUUAGUCUCCAUAGCCAGCAUCUUCAUGGAUAUCUUCCGAAGGUAAUCAGUCUGAAAGCCGAAAUAAAAGAAAAUCAGGGAGGUGUAAAUGGAUUUGAUACCCCAUAGCUUUACUAGUACCAAAACUCGUUCUUCAUCAGGCUGUUAAGAAAAACAUGAAUGUUCAGCAGCUGAUUAAGUACCUGGUUAACAGCACCGCUGAAAAUUUUCUCCUCGAACCUGGCAGCAAUUCUCAUGAGCUCAUUAAUUCCUUCUGGUCCAGAUUGAGGAAGGUGCCUGCUUAGUAUUUCCAUUCUGCGCAUAGAGUAAGAAAAACAGAAGUAAAGGUCAAAAAAGUGUAACAUUUUGGAGACAUAACAUUACAACAAAACCAGUUAAUAUUAAAUAUUAAAUAAACUUACAUCUUGUUAACGAUCUUCUGGCGUGAAUCAGGUGGCAACUGUUUUCUCCACUCACCAUUGUUAAUGGCUGCAGAUUCUCCAUUUGGAAUGGAAAGUCUCCAAUUGUUGUUAUCCAUCAAGUGUUCCUACGUAUACAAACCAUGAUAAGAAGAUAACCAAAACAUGAUGCGCAUAUCGCAAGGAAAAAAAAACUACAAGAAGCAGACAGAAGAUGGAUUAUUAUUAUUCACACUCAUAAUUUCUCAAUAUGCCAAAUAAUCAGACCAGCCAGGAUAAUAAUAAUAGCAAGUUUGAGACAUCAGAAAUUAAAUAAGAAAAUCAAAACAAGUUGUGUUCACUGAUCAGCCAAAUUGUUUUUUUUUUUUUUUUAUUACCAGCUUUGUCUCCUGUCCCUAGCAGAAAGCCACAUACGAAACGAAUAAACAUACUUUAUGACAUGACACAAGCAAAGUUAAUCAAUUCUCCUAAUUAGUAAGAACCGAGAAUCACAAUCUCUAGAGGGCGAUGGCUAUAUAGUAUAGCUUCCCGAGACUCCGAUUACAAGAUAAAACUCCAAAAGCAACAGAAUGACACCAAAACAAAAACGAGAUUCGAAAAUUUCACCUAAACUUUUCAAAGCGUGUCGAGGCGAUUUCGCGGUUGCUACAAACGAUUAGAGUCUGACUUUAGGAAAAAAAUAGAAGUUAAAUUAAGGUUUAGGUUAAUCGCGAAAUGAAAUUGAAGAAUAUAUAAAAGAAUGUUUCUGGGCAAACGCAGAGGAAGGAAACUUCAUGCGUCUUAAGCUGACAACUGUGUCCCCUCAACUUUGCUUACGAGAGCAUGUUUAACAGGGUUCUUGUGGGGUUUUCAGCUAUAAGAAUUCAUUUCUUAACUUUUUUUUCUUUUUUUUGUCUGACUUUUUUUUUUUCCUCGAUAAAUAUUUGAUUCACAGAAUUAAAAACCCACAAUACAACAUACAUAAGCCCAAGAAAAUGAAUUAAAAUACAACAAACAUCUGGAUCCAAGACCCAACUAUGAAAAUUCUAGGAGACAAACGAGGUUCCACCGCCAUACAGACAAACGCUGCAGUUUAGACGUCGCCCUCGCUUUGAAACACCACCGGAUAACCAACCAUCGAUUCAUUCGGAUCCACCAGAGCUCACUAACUUUAAACCAUCACCACCGCAAACGUCUUUAACUCAAGUGAACCCAAUAUGGGAGAGCAUCAAUCGACUGUUCGAGAUCUCAUCUGUCACCAUUCAUCACAAGCACCGAGAGAAAAGCUUCACGCGAACCAUCACCGUUAACAAUGGUCGAGCUUCGAUCGUCCUCCGACGAUAUCUCCACCAACCCUAACCAAACCAAAAGCGUAAAACUAAAAAAAAGGAGACAACCAAACCCUAAAACGGAAUUAGGGAACCAAAAAUCGGCAAAGCAAAGCAAGGAACGCCUUCACCCCCCAGGAUCUAGACCGACGACGGCAGAGCUGACGAAGCUUCCACCUCUCGGGGACAGGAACCGGCAUCGACGGAGCUGGAGGAGCCUCCACCUCCCAGAGACAAAACCAAGUAGCCGAACGAAGAACUUCACCGCGCCUUUCUCAAUACGACCGCGCCUUUACGCCAGAGACAGAUCCGCCAUGGGCGGCCUUGUUCCAGAGCUCAGGCAAAGCGGAAGAAAGAGGGGACAAGAGCAAAGCAAAAAUCGAAAGCUUUAAAGGUGGCUUGAGGGACUCUGGUGACGGCACGCACGCUCACGCGCCGGCCGGUUACCAGACCCGGUUAUAAAUCUACUUUCUCUUUCUACUUUCUCUCUCCGGGUACGUAAUUUAUUUCUUAACUUUUAAAUACCGAUUUUUAGUUAAAAUAUUAAUAGAGAGUUUUUAUAUUCCGUUAAAAAAUAACUCAAUUAAACAUGCUCUAAAUUAUGACCAAAGUUUUCAAUGUCGUUGAGCUGCUUUUUAAAUUACUAGAAACCCCUCCACUUAAACUGCAUUACUAGUUCACUUUGUAUAAAUAUUGUGUGUUGAAAGGUUCCUUAAGACGACGUUUAAUAUCGAUUCAUUCAUGUCGUUCAAAUUUUCAAAAGUAGCUGUUGUAGCGCGUAUCAACCAAUCAAUCAAAACGAAAUAAAUGAAUAUUAAGAGUUACAUAAACCUAUUUAUAAGUGAUAACUCUAUUUUCUUUUAUCAAAAUAAGUGAUAACUUAGUUUUUGUUUCCACCAGAAAAAGGAAGAGAGAUUCUUUUUCGUUUGCUACUGUUACUAAGAAACUAGAAAUCACACUUGACAUGUUUAGUCAUGGCUUCAUGCCUCUUGCAGGUUUCUUCUUUAUACACAAAUAUGUACAUGCACUUGCCUUCCCCCUUAUUUGGCUUUAGCUUUCCUCUUUCAUACUCUGCAUCUUCAAGGAUAUUUUGCAAAAGUAGUCCAUCUGAAACUCGAAAUCAACACACAACAUCAAGAACACAAAGGAGGGGAUGAUAUCAAAGGAAGUACACAUUGAGCUUAAUCAAAAAUAGUGAAACCUGAUUUUUCGCGGUGUUGAAAAUCAACUCCUCGAAGCUCACAGCAAUUCUCAUGAGCUCUUCGAUUCCUUCUUCCCCAGAAUAUGGAACAUGUUUCUUCAGUGUUUCCAAUCUGCUCAAAUGACAAAAGUAACUUAUAAACAUAUUCAUGGCAAAACGUUGAAAAACAUUCUACAUUUCAACAGAGUUUUAUCAUUAAACUGGCUUUGGGGGAGGGAAUAAGCAGCUAAGAGAGAAAAUAUGACAAAUUUGGAGGAUGAACAAACUCACAGCGUGUUGACAUUCUUCUGGCGUGAACCUGGUGGAUGUAGAGCUCUCCAGUCACCUCUGUUUAUGGCAAGAUUACCUAUGUGGACAAAGCAAAGCAUUAAGUUCAGAUUUCUAACUCCAUUCAAACCCUUCAAGAGAAACGAAUCAAGUGGGAAAAUGGAUGCAGCUGAGCUCCAACAUCCAUAUAUUACACCACGUAAAUGGACUGCAUCGACAGAUUUUCUUGACUAUCAUGAGAGUGAUUACCGUUCUGAGAUGACUGUUGCUUCACAGGCUGCAUCUGAGGUUGCGGAAGCUGCCCUUGCUGAACUGGCUUCCUCGGCAUGUGCAUAUUUACGAAACGUUUAAUCUGCCUCUCAUAAGAAGCCACCUUAUCCUUUAAUGCAGGUUUUAUAUUUCUCUUUGAAACGGAUAGGAAUUGUAUCAUUCGCUCCAACAUUGUCUUUAAUUGUUUCAAUCUAUUAAACUGCAGAGAUCUUUGUUGAUGCGGAAAAGAAUUCUGCUCGAGACAAAAAAAAGAAUGUUUUCAACAAGAAAGAGACGAGCACAUAGAUUGCAAGCUAAAGGAACAUAAAUAUCCGAUGUUUACUUUCUACUGGACAGUAAAAAUACGAGCAUCUUUUGGUGCAAUGGUUUUCAAGAUGCCAAAGUUGUAUGACUUUCUUUUGCAAUAUCGAACCGGUUUUGCAUUGAAUUCAUAGGAAUUCUCGCUCAGAUACUCUACUGUUUCGGAGGACAUACACUCUACUCUCCUAGAAAAAUAUAUAGCAACUUACUUGCUGCAACUUGGCUGCAACUCUCUGUUUGACUUCUUUUAGAUCUGAUAAGUACGUAUCUCUCAAAGUUUUGAUCUGCAAAGACAAGCACAAAGAUCACACGGUUACUCAUUACGAUGAUAUCAAAAUAAGAUCGCCUGCCGUGUUGCAUUUAUCUCUUAUAGAUUUAAUAAACGUAGACAGAAUAGGUAUAAAGAUAGCAAACUUAUUUUAUCUCCCCCAAACACUUAUGAGUACUGACGGCAAGGCCUGAAGCAUUACCCAAACUAGAAAGAAAAACUACCUUUUGGUAAACCUCCUCUUGCCAAUCAACAGAAUUUCCACUUUCCGUCUGUGCCAUGGAGUUUAACAAUGCUACAAUUUAUAAAAAUGGGGUUUGUUUAGCAUCAGAUCCAGCUGAGGGAUUAACUUAUGUAAAGUAUUCACAAGGAUGUAAACGCAUACACACAGGAUGGAAUCUCUGGAAGGGUUUGUCUCUGUUGGUCCACUACAUUUUGAGGUGGAAGCAGGGAACCUGUGAAUUGGCCUGAAGAUUGUAGCCUUUGUAGCAGAUUAGGUUGUUGUAACUGCUGAUGAUGCGACUGAAGGGGCAUCAUCAGCUGCUGCUGGGAUGGCUGAUUUUGUGACUGUUGGCCUUGAGAAGAAAACACAACAUGAGAUGAUUGUUGGGGAAGCUCCCCUUGCUGAACUGGAUUCCUCGGCCUUAGCAUAUUUACCAAAUCUAUAGUCUGCUUCUCAUAGAUAGCCACCUUAUCCCUUAAUGCAGGUAUGACAUCUCUCUUUGACACCGAUAGGAAUAGUAUCAUUCGCUCCACCGCUGCCUUGAACUGUUUCAAUUUCUCAAACUGCUCUGAUCUUCGUUGCCGCGGAAGAGAACCCAUCUGGGGAGAAAAAGGAAUGUGCUCAAUAGGAAAAGAGACAACCACAUAGAUUCAAGCUACAACCUUUGUCAGUUUGGGAAGGAAAAUAAAUAUCCGACAAUUACUUUCCACCGGACAGUAAAAAUACCAAAUUUGUGUGACUUUCUUUUGCAAUAUCGAAUUGGUCUUGCAUAGAAACUCUCGCAGGUACUACUGUUCUGGAGGACAUACACACUACUCUCUUAGAAAAAAAAACUUACUUGCUGCACCCUGGAUGCAGCUCUCUGAUAGAUUACGGCAAGAUCAGGUAAGUACGCUUCUUGUAUAGUUUUGAUCUGCAAAGACAAAGCACCAUGGACACACACGGAUUACUCAUUACAAUGAUAUUUAUGUAAGAUCGCCUGUCGUGUUGCAUAUAUAUACAGCAAACUUAGUUGACAGCAAGACUAAGAAGCCGGAAGCAAUACCCAAAUUAGAAAAAAAGAAAACUACCUUUUGGAAAACCUCCUCUUGCCAAUCAACCGCAUUUCCACUUUCCGUCUGUGCCGUGGAGUCUAGCGAUGUUACAAUUAAUAAAUAAAUAAAAGGUUUUGUUGAGCAUCAGAUCCUAAAGUAUUCACAAGGAUGUAAAGGCAUACAUGAUGGCAUCUCCUGGAGGGUUCUUUGGGAUUGAUACAGUUGUUGUCUCUGUUGGUCUCCGGAAGGCCUCCAAUUGUUGUUAUCCAUCUAAGUGUUCCCUACGGUUACAAAAAUCUACAGAAAACAAACGACCACACACAGAGAUGAAUUAUAUUGACAAGAAUCAGAGCAGCCAAAGGCUAAUUCUAACAAGUUUGAGACACGGAAUCACCAACCAACCCUAAUAGAGAAUCAAAACCAAAUUUUUCAUUUUUGUUUACUCUUGUUAACAAAAAAAAGCGACAGACUCAACCUCAAAGUAGCAUAUCGUAAAACGAGUAAGCAUACUGUGUCAAUCACACCAAAAAAAAAGAAGGUUAAAUCUAUUCUCCUAAAUAGUAUGAGAACCACAAUCUGUAAAGCGCGAUAGCGAAAUAAUAUGUCUUCUCGAGACUACUGAUCACAAUAGAAAACGAAAUUCUAAAAUUUCACCUCGAGGCGAUUUCACGGGUUGUUACAAAGGAGUAGGAUUGAUCGGGAUGAAGAAAGGAUGACCAAGUUUUCAAUGUCGUCGCGCGGCUUUUAAAUUACCAAAAACCCCUACAAUUAAUGAUCAAUUACUGUAUAAUCUUGCCAAGUGUCAACUACAAGUUCACUAAACCCCAAAUUUAAUUGACCCACCAAUAUAAAGACGGCGCUUAGUCUCAUCAUGUGCUUUAAUUUUUUCAAUUGAUGUUUGAUGUCGGAGAAACCAGAAAUCAUCCCAAUUCCCAAUGGCAUACACUCGACCAUGUAUGGUUUAUUCAUGCCUUUUCUUGUUUUUCUUUUUAAGAGCAUCUCCAAAAAGAAACUCUAUUUUGAAGUUUCCAAAACUCUAUAUUUGAAGUUUCAAUGUGUUCUUCUCCAAAAGUAAAACUUCAAACCUAACUUCAAAAUUAUUUAUAUUUUACACUAUGGUCCUUAUAUUUGUCAUAGUUGAUGUAAAUUCAUAAAAUUUCUAUAAAUAACUAGUACAUAUAUAUAAAUAUUACAGAAAUAUUAAUUAAAAAAAUCUUACACUAAACGAUAAAAUUAUAAAUAAAAGUACAUACUUAAAUAUUAAACUGCAAACAAAUAUUAUAUUAUUCCAUGAAAUUAUUUCUAUAAUGCUCCCAUAUAUGAUCAAUUAGUGCAUUUCGAAGUAAGAAAUGAUUCUCUUUAUUUUUUAUUUGUAGAUUACGAGCCAAAAAUUGUUGAAAUCGGAUAUCCUCAUAAUAUGGCUGCUGAUAGUUUGAUAUUAUCAAACGAAAAAAUCCUUGAUCUUUUAAACGAAAGUAUAACAAGCAAGGAAAAAGGUCAUGAGAUGAUUGAAUUAUGACUACAAAAUAAAGCAAAAAAGUUAGCUUUUAAAAAAGUAAAAGAGAAAAAUAAAAUAUUGCUAAAAAACUUAGCUUCUAUCAAUCAUGUUAAUAUUCGUGAAUACAUUCGAUCUAAACAAGAAAGAAUCAUACGAAAAAUGCGUCAAGAGCAACAACAACAAUCAUCUUUGGUUACACAAAAUUUGUUUGGACGAUAUUUUGUAGAUUUUUGAGGUUCCGGAGCAAAUUUACCAUACUAUUAGUGUUGUCAUAAUAUUUAAAUUUGAGUAAUAAUUAUGUCUUCAUGUGUCUUUUUAAUAAGUUUGUAUUAUGGUUUUUUGUAAUAUUCUUGUUGUUUAAUUCUAGUUUUAAAAUAUUAUAAAUCUUGUUUAAAAAUUUUUUAUUUAAUUUCAUGUGUAAAAAUUAAAUUUAUAAAACAAAUUUAAAAUAUUUAUGAGAUAUAAAUUUUUUAAAGAUUAAAACAAUAAACAAAAAAAUAUUUAAGAAUUAUAAAUAUGAUGUAUAAUUGUAAGGACCAAAAUGCAAAUAAAAAGAUGAAACUUCAAAUUUGAAGUUUUGAAAAGUGAAACUCUAUAUUUGGAGUUUCACUCUUCAAAACUUCAAAUUUGAAGUUUUGAAGUUCCUUUUUGGAGAGCAAAAAACUCUAUAUUUGGAGUUAUAGAGUUUCUUUUGGAGAUGCUCUAACUCUUCAAGGUGUGUUCUUUAUAUACAAAUAUAAAUUAUGGACUAGCUUUCCUUAGGAAGUUUUACGCCGUUUUGAAAACUCCUCUUGUUUGAUUUCGCUUCCCUCUUCCAUACUCUGCAUCCUUGAGGAUAUUUUGCUCAAGUAAUCCACAACAUCAAGAACGAAAUAAGGGGUGGAUGAUAUCAAGGAUAAAUGAACACAUUGAGGUUAAUAAAGAAAAAAAUAAAAAAGUGAAACCUGACUUGUCGCGGUGUUGAAAAUUAACUCCUCGAAGCUGACAGCAACUCUCAUGAGCUCUUCGAUUCCUUCUUUCCCAGAAUAUGGAAUAUGUUUCUUCAGUGUUUCCAAUCUACUCAAAUGACAAAAGUAACUUGUCUAUCUAGAACCAUAUUCAUAGUGUCAAAGCAAUACAACAAAACUUUGUGAAACAUUCUACUUCUACAGAAUUUUGAUCAUUAAAUUGACUUAUGAAUGACAAAAGAGUAGCAAGAGUGAGAAAAUAUGACAAAUUUGGAAGAGGAACAAAACUCACAAUGUGUUGACAUUCUUCUGGCGUGAACCUGGUGGAUGUUGAGUUCUCCAGUCACCUCUGUUUAUGCCAAUAUUACCUAUGUGGACAAAACAAAGCAUUAAGUUCAGAUUUCUAACUCCAUUCAAAAGAAACAAAUCAAGUGGGAAAAUGGAUGCAGCUGACCUACAACAUCGAUUUAUUAAUUACACCAAGAAAAUGGAUUGCAUCUACAGAUUUGCUUGACUAGAAUGAUUACCGUUCUGAGGUUGCGGAAGCUGCCCUUGCUGUACUGGCUUCCUCGGCCUGUGCCUAUUUAAGAAACUUAUAAUCUGCGUCUCAUAAAAAUCCACCUUAUCCUUUAAUGCAGGCAUGAUAUUGCUCUUUGAAAUCAAUAGGAAUCGUAUCAUUCGUUCCAACAUUAUCUUGAAUUGUUUCAAUUUCUCAAAGUCCUUUAAUCUUUGCUGCUGCGGUAGUGAAUACUGCUGGAGAGAAAGAAAAAAAAAUCUGUUCAAUAGGAAAAGAGACAAAGCACAUAGAUGCAUGCAAGCUAGAACCUUGGUGGGUAUGAGAAGGAACAUAACUAUCAGAUGUUUACAUACGAGCCUCAAGAGCAUAUUUUCGUGAAAUGGUUAACAAGAUACCAAAGUGUUUGCAUUAAAUUCAUAGAAAUUCUCCCAGCUACUAGUGUUUCGGAGGACAUACACACACUACUCUCUUAGAGAAAAAAAAUAUCGUAACGUACUUUCUCCAACUUGGCUGAAGCUCUCUGGUAGAUUUCGUGAAGUUCUGCUAAGUACUUUUCGUUUAUAGUUCUGAUCUGCAUAGACAAAGCACCAUGUUUUCACACGAUUAUUCAUUACAGUGAUACUCUUUGUCUUAUUGCAUCUAUCUCUUGACACUUUAAUAAGCGUAGACAGAAUUAGUACUAUAUAUAGCGAACUUAUUUUAUCUCCCAGAAUUCAGCAAGAGUAAGAGGACACUACAGAAGCAUUAACUAGAAAGAAACAACUAUCUUUUGGUAAACCUCCUCUUGCCAAUCAACACCAUUUGCACUUUCCAUCUGAUGCUCAGCAUCAGAUCCUGCUGAGGUGGGAUUAUGUAAAGUAUGAGAACCUAAAGUAUUCACAAGGAUGUAGAAAAAGCAUACAUGAUGGAAUCUCCGGAAGGGUUCUUUGGGAUUGAUAUAGUUGGUCCACUACAUUUUGAGGUGGAAGCAGAGAACCUGUGACUUGACCUGAAGAUUGUAGCCUCUGUUGCACAUCCUGUUGUAGCAGAUUAGGUUGUUGUUGCAAACCUAACUGCUGAUGAUGCGACUGUUGGCCCCGAAACAGAAACAAGCCAUGAGCAGCCUGAUGCAGCCCAACGGUUGGCUGUGAUAACAUGUGCACCGACUGCUGGUUAGUCUGGGAACUGAGCAACUGAUGUUGUGGUUGCUGCAGUCCUGCAACACUUCUUUGAGUGCCCAAUGGUUGCUGAUGAAGGCUGUUUUGUUGAGACAUCAAAUGCUGUGGCAACGGAUUUCUCCAGUCACCAGGUUCUCCUUUUGGAACGGAAGGUCUCCAAUUGUUGUUAUCCAUCACCUGUUCCUUACGACCACACACAAGACAAUCCGAUUUUAUGCCAAGAUUCAGAGCAGCUAGGCUAAUAAUGAUAGCAAGUUUGAGCCACGGAAUCACCAAUUCCAAAGAAAAUUAAAAUCAGUUGACUUCACUGAUCAGUCAAUUUUUUUCAUUUCUGUUUGCUAUUGGUAGCAAGAAAGAGACAGAGUCAACCUCAAAGUAGCAUAUCCGAGAAAACGAGUAAGCUCAAUCACACCAACAAAGUCAAAUCUAUUCUCCUAAAUAGUAUUAAGAACCGAGAACCACAAUCAAUAAAGCUUGAUGGGCUAUAUAGUAGUAUGUCUUCACGAGACUCCCGAUCCACAAGAUUUGAAAAUUUAACUUGUAUUAAACUUGUAUCAUUCGCUCCAACAUUGUCUUUAAUUGUUUCAAUCUAUUAAACUGCAGAGAUCUUUGUUGAUGCGGAAAAUAAUUCUGCUCGAGACAAAAAAAAGAAUGUUUUCAACAAGAAAGAGACGAGCACAUAGAUUGCAAGCUAAAGGAACAUAAAUAUCCGAUGUUUACUUUCUAGUGGACAGUAAAAAUACGAGCAUCUUUUGGUGCAAUGGUUUUCAAGAUGCCAAAGUUGUAUGACUUUCUUUUGCAAUAUCGAACCGGUCUUGCAUUGAAUUCAUAGGGAAUUCUCGCUCAGAUACUCUACUGAUUCGGAGGACAUACACUCUACUCUCCUAGAAAAAUAUAUCGCAACUUACUUGCUGCAACUUGGCUGCAACUCUCUGUUUGACUUCUUUUAGAUCUGAUAAGUACGUAUCUCUCAAAGUUUUGAUCUGCAAAGACAAGCACAAAGAUCACACGGUUACUCAUUACGAUGAUAACAAAAUAAGAUCACCUGCCGUGCUGCAUUUAUCUCUUUUAGAUUUAAUAAACGUAGACAGAAUAGGUAUAUAGAUAGCAAACUUAUUUAAUCUCCCCCAAACACUUAUGAGUACUGACGGCAAGACUAAGAGGCCUGAAGCAUUACCCAAACUAGUAAGAAAAACUACCUUUUGGUAAACCUCCUCUUGCCAAUCAACAGCAUUUCCACUUUCCGUCUGUGCCAUGGAGUUUAACAAUGCUACAAUUUAUAAAAAUGGGGUUUGUUCAGCAUCAGAUCCAGCUGAGGGAUUAACUUAUGUAAAGUAUUCACAAGGAUGUAAACGCAUACACACAGGAUGGAAUCUCUGGAAGGGUUUGUCUCUGUUGGUCCACUACAUUUUGAGGUGGAAGCAGGGAACCUGUGAAUUGGCCUGAAGAUUGUAGCCUUUGUAGCAGAUUAGGUUGUUGUAACUGCUGAUGAUGCGACUGAAGGGGCAUCAUCAGCUGCUGCUGGGAUGGCUGAUUUUGUGACUGUUGGCCUUGAGAAGAAAACACAACAUGAGAUGAUUGUUGGGGAAGCUCCCCUUGCUGAACUGGAUUCCUCGGCCUUAGC
This 20384-nucleotide long non-coding RNA is filed under the name Brassica rapa (field mustard). RNAcentral's name for it is "long non-coding RNA (BRAP_LNC004128)". Lineage: Eukaryota; Viridiplantae; Streptophyta; Magnoliopsida; Brassicales; Brassicaceae. The record is from RNAcentral.